RNAcentral lists this long non-coding RNA (1448 nucleotides) under Triticum aestivum (bread wheat). RNAcentral describes it as "long non-coding RNA (TAES_LNC022966)". The record is from RNAcentral. Lineage: Eukaryota; Viridiplantae; Streptophyta; Magnoliopsida; Poales; Poaceae.
CUUAUUACACUUUGGCUCACAUUUUUCUUGUUUUUUGGCUAUGUUAACUGUGGGCUUAUGGUGUGUACUCUAGUACAGAAUUUAUAGUUGCCAGGCAUAUGGGUAAGAUUCUGUGCACAUUUUUUUCAUGUAUUUUGUUGAGAGGAAGUAUCCUUUAGAAAACAGAGAGGUUGAAAAAAGACAUUCUUUUAAGAAGUGAAGAUAUGGCUGCUUUUAGUAAGCUUUUUAUCGGUUAUACUGAAGUGUGUUCUAAAACUAUUGUCACAAUCCUGAAUUCCUGAUCCUUCAUUCCUCUCGGACCAUGUCUAAAAUAAACCAAACCUCUGUGUUUAUAUUUUUUGGUAAAAAUAAUUUCUUGCCUAUUGCAAUUAGGUAUAGACUAAAAAAUUUCAGUGCGAGAGUUCAGGCAUCACUAUGGUGCCAUACUGACCAAUGCAACAAGAUGUAUACUUCCAGUUCGGGGAACAUGCAUUUUGUAGGGAGUACAAUAUUGCUUGCACAUAUUCAGACUUGCCGCUGGUAGAACUGAUAUAUUAGUAGGUUACUAGCCCAAAAUAUAGUUAUAAUGAUGAACCUUUCAGCUUAAUGUUUAUGUCUUGCAGAUCAUUAUUUGAAUGUUUUCUUUUGUAUAUGUAGACACAAAAACAAAAUGUAUAGGUUAGUUUGAUGUGUUACACCUGUCUUUCCUCUCUGAAGUUGUAUAUUCUUGUUCUAUUAUGGAAGUGUUAGUUUUUUUGUUCUGAAUACUGUUGUAAGCGCUGCUCAUGAGUUCAUUUAUACUUCUGUGAGUGGCUAAUAGAAAAGACAAUGUGUUAGUGUCUAAUAAAAAAGACAAUGGGUGUCAAAUAGAAAAGACAAUGUGUUGGUGUCUAAUUUGUUUCUUUUAUACUUCUGUUAGGAGCACCUUUCUUAACUUUCUCCUUUUUAACGAUCAUUUUCUUUUUCAGUGGACUAAUCAAAUGCAAGCUAUGAGGAGCUAAAAGAAGUAGGAUAUUACGAGCAAGGGACUCUACCUUUAUGGGUUUGAUUGUUGUCGCAUAAUCAAUGGACUGCACCAACUGCUAUUGAAGAAGUAUAUGUAGAAUGCAUAGUUAUGGUGUGAUAGGGCCAGUGUUGUUGUCUGACAGUUGUGCAUUCUUCACCUUGGAUGGUCAAAGAUAUGUUCGCUAGCCUGAUGCUGCUCCAUCGGUGGAUCUACAGGUAUAACCAUUUCUUCAUUGCUUGACGUAGGUAUAGAGUUGGGAUAUAAUAUUGCGCAGAAGAAGAGCACAGUUGCUUUUACAGUUUUAGAAGGUGCUGCAAGAUUAAUUUGCAUUGUUCUCGUAUAUGAUUUUCAGAUUGUUCUAUUAUGAAGUAUUGGUUUAUUAUUGAGGUAGCCUUAGACGGAGGAGCUGAAUGCAGUUUUUGUAUCUUUUUUCAAUGUCCUGAAUGGUCCCAUGAAAAUCCUG